RNAcentral lists this long non-coding RNA (3062 nucleotides) under Homo sapiens (human). Its description in RNAcentral is "HSALNT0210344". The record is from RNAcentral. Lineage: Eukaryota; Metazoa; Chordata; Mammalia; Primates; Hominidae.
GAGGGCAGUCAUGCCCCAAGUGCAGUGUUUUUGUGAUUAGGCACAACUGAAGCUUGUUAGCAAUAAUAUGACCCUGUGAUUAAUUGAGCGGCUGACCAAUCAUUACCUCCUCCUCCCUGCUCUUUCUACCCAAUAAAUACAAAGGGCUGUGGAAGCUCAAUGGGCUGCCUUUGCUCAUUAGAAGCAGGGAGCUCUCUUCUUCUUCCCCUGGAUCCUUCCUUUAAAAUAGUUUCUUUUGUCUUAAGUUUUCAUUUCUACGUUUGUCCCUUCAUUCAGUCUCUUAAAUGACGGUCUCAAGCAGUAACAGUAGUAAUUGCUGUAAUGACGGUCUCAAGUAGUAACCAGGGCACUCUGCCACAAGUGGCACCUGAACAGGGACUAACAGGGACUAUCAAGAACAAACGGAGACCUGAAGAGACCUGAAGGGAACUGAAGAGGUCUGCAGGGACAAAUAGAGAUAAGUAGGGAUAAAUAGAGAUAAAUAGAGACAAAUAGAGAUAGGUAAGGAAUGACAGGGACUUGCAGGAAGUAACAGGGACCAUAGGGACAGAUAGGGAUAGAUAAAGACUAGCAAAGACUAGCCGAGAUUAGCAAAGACCAGCAAGGACUAGCAGAGACUAGCAAAGACUAGCAGAAACUUGCAGGGACAGGCAGAGACAGAUAGGGACAGAUAGGGUCCUACAGGGACUUGAACGAGGAAGAUCUGCUGGAAAAGAAAAGAACUACAACCAACCAGAUGAACAAGAAACCCUGUUACAAGUCUGCUGGCAGCAACAUAAGGGUAUGCUUGUUUUUGCAGGAAAUGAACAAAAAGUGUGGGUGCCCCCAAGGUGUGUACUACCAUGGAAUGGGAGAUUGGAGGGACACAUGGAUCCCAACCGUGGGCCUGGUUCCCCCAGUAUGAGCUGAAUACGAAGACAGAACAAACCACCAACCGGCAAUUGAAGUGACACAAAGUGAACCGGGUUCUAUAAAUUACCAUGGAAAGUGGUGAGCCAACGAUUUGGCAGAACAAAACCCUGAGGAUAUGCAAACAAAAGGGACUAUGGAAUUUGCAAUUGCAGAUUAAAAUUGAAGAAGAAAACAUUUGAGUUGCAAAUACCGUAUUAAAAGUGGACACUGCUUAUGACUGCUGUAUGCAACAGUUUUUCAGGCCCGAGAGGAACCCAGACAUGCUCUAUUUGCAAACCGACUGCAUGAAACAAAAAGCACGGUAAUUCUGAAGCUGUUGGCUUGGAUGAAAUGAGAAUGUAAUUAAAAAGAAAAAGGUUAGCAAAAGAACAUGCUGGGAAUUGAAAAUAAAAAUCUGAAAUGAUGUCCCAGCCUGCCCUUAAGGUCUUUUCCACCAUGUAGAGAGCUACCUCAAAUGCUCUACUUGUCCCAGAGUCUAUGUUCUUUCACUACUAUUGCCUAUAUCUGUGUUUUCUGCUUUCAAUAAUCUAUUGAAAUAAUCAAAAUUAAUUACAUUCAGCAUUUUUUCUGUAUUACUCUGAUUCUAAUAAUUACCUCAAAUUUAUUUGUGCAUUUCUAUACUAGAAAGAAAAAAUAAUUUUUAGAGUUUUACUAUAUCUUCCCCUUAAUUCUAAGUUGCUUGUCACUAAUUCCUUUCCCAACACUAUGUUAUUUCCACCAAGAACAUUACCAAUAUCUUCAGGAAAAUUCCACCCCAUAUUUUAAGCCAGAUUGAUUAUUGGGAAUAUAAAUACAUUUAAGAAGGAAAGUCUUUUUGACUGUGUUUCUCCACAGACCAAUAGUAUACAAAACACAGAAGGCUUUUAAGCACAUUUCAUAGGGAUCACUGACUUAGAACAGAAGGAACCAUUUCGUGAAACACUCUCAUUUUGCACAUAAAGGAGCUGUGGCCCACAGAGGAAUAUGAUUUACUGAGAGUGACCCAGUUAGUGGCCAUAAACCAAAAGCCCCAAGAUGCUAAAUGUUUGUUAUGAAGAGUAAAAAUCCUCCCAGUUUAUAAGAAGUAACUUCAUCCUUCCAUUUUCUAUUUCCACGAUGACUCCCCUGGCUUAAAUUUUAAUCUCUAUUUUGGAUGACUCCAAAAUCUCAUUCUUCUAAAUUAAUUAUCUAAUACCACAAUGUUGCACUUAUCUUCCUACAAAUCUACUUUCAUCUGCCUUGACAAAGCCAACCCUAAUUUUCUCUAGUCCUCAUUAGAAAUUAUUGCAACAAAAAUUCACAUCCAGUCUGAAGUUUGGGAGCCAGAAAAGAAUUUUCCCAUUAAGAUGAGACAGUAUCAAUUAUUAAGCAGAGGAAGACACAAGAGGGAAAGCAGCUUUCACAUGAAAAAAAAAGAACUCUGAUUUUCUGACACAUUUUGUCAUUGCAGUCAAACUUUCAGAGUUAGAACUAGAGACCUAGAUAUUAGCUAACCCAGCAUUUUCCAAGUAUUCCUCGGAACUCUAGAGGCACAGCAUAGUACUGGUAAUGAUUUUGUGGCAGGAUAGAUUAAGGAAACCUCACAGUUAUACCAAGUUAAAUUCAUUUAUUUCAUGUAAAAUUCUGAUAGCCUUUUAUGCUACUAGGCCUAGUGAUACUCCAAAAUUAUUGGCCAUAUAUCUGAAAUUUAUUUCAGCAAGAAACCCUUUAAAGAGCAUCCCGCAGAGUUAGUGUUUUGAGGGAUAUCAUUGGGGAAAAUGCUGAUCUAGACCAAUUCAACAAAUUGUAACUUAGUUAACACCAGAGUCAAAACAAAAACCAAGUCUACUCAUGUCUGUCUUAGGCCCUUUUGGUCACAAAAACACGUUCAAACCACUUCAAUUAAGAAAAUGGUGAGAGGGGAAAAGACAAGCAGGGAACCUUAUCCCAGGUGGGCUGAUCACAGGACUUCCAAGGCUGUCCCUUAGAAGAGUCACGAUAAUGGCAUCUCUAGCACAAAACUCAAAUUUAGUUUUAAUUCUUAGUCGAAUAAUAAUACAGUAAAAUUUAUUGCAUGCAUAAGGAUAAUACAUUAAAACUACUUAAAUUACAUUUUAGGGCCGGGCGCGGUGGCUCACGCCUGUAAUCCCAGCACUUUGGGAGGCCGAGGCGGGUGGAUCACGAGGUCAGGA